This 528-nucleotide long non-coding RNA is filed under the name Citrus sinensis (sweet orange). RNAcentral's name for it is "long non-coding RNA (CSIN_LNC000841)". Lineage: Eukaryota; Viridiplantae; Streptophyta; Magnoliopsida; Sapindales; Rutaceae. The record is from RNAcentral.
GUUUCUAAUAAUACAACAGGGACUUUUCAUUUCCCUCGCUACCGUUUUCGUUUCCCUCUAGCUUCAGAAAACCUAAACACUUAACCAAAACAAACAUGAAGGCAGGAGUCAGAACAAAGCAAAACAAAAUUGAAAGCACAACGAAGCAAAACCCACAACAUGAAAUAAGCAACUUGAGCUGACAAAAAAAGGUAAAAGGCACAAGAAAACCUUGAAGAUCGAAGAAUAUAAAGCCCACAUUAAGAAAGAAGAGAACCAAAAUUAUUGAAGCAGAAAAGAAAGAUCGAAGAAAGUCAAAGCAAAUAAAAAGUUGUAAUCAGGUCAGAACACUCACCCUCUCUCUAUAUCGGUUCUUGCACUUUCCUCUAAUUUUUUGUAAAGCCCUCAUUGUCAAUUUGUUUCAGAUUUUUCUAUUUCUUGACUUGAUUUUAAUUUAGAUAGGCUUGCAUGCAUGAAUCAUUUGUUUAUUUACUUUUUGACUGGCAUGCACACAUGAAUCGAUGAUUUGCAAAUAUAACUAAGAAAAUU